AGUGAACGCUGGCGGUAGGCCUAACACAUGCAAGUCGAACGGCAGCACAGUAAGAGCUUGCUCUUACGGGUGGCGAGUGGCGGACGGGUGAGGAAUACAUCGGAAUCUACUUUUUCGUAGGGGAUAACGUAGGGAAACUUACGCUAAUACCGCAUACGACCUACGGGUGAAAGCAGGGGAUCUUCGGACCUUGCGCGAUUGAAUGAGCCGAUGUCGGAUUAGCUAGUUGGCGGGGUAAAGGCCCACCAAGGCGACGAUCCGUAGCUGGUCUGAGAGGAUGAUCAGCCACACUGGAACUGAGACACGGUCCAGACUCCUACGGGAGGCAGCAGUGGGGAAUAUUGGACAAUGGGCGCAAGCCUGAUCCAGCCAUACCGCGUGGGUGAAGAAGGCCUUCGGGUUGAAAAGCCCUUUUGUUGGGAAAGAAAAGCAGCAGGUUAAUACCCCGCUGUUCUGACGGUACCCAAAGAAUAAGCACCGGCUAACUUCGUG
Molecule: ribosomal RNA, 492 nt
Filed under: uncultured bacterium
Lineage: Bacteria
Description: partial 16S ribosomal RNA
Rfam family: Bacterial small subunit ribosomal RNA
Source: RNAcentral